ACGUACAGCCAUACCACCCUGAGAGCGCCUCACCUGGGAAGCUAAGCAGGGUCGGCCCCGGUCAGUACUUGGAUGGGAGACCAGCCGGCAAUACCAGGGUUCUGUGACAA
This 110-nucleotide ribosomal RNA is filed under the name Columba livia (rock pigeon). Lineage: Eukaryota; Metazoa; Chordata; Aves; Columbiformes; Columbidae. The record is from RNAcentral.